AGACAGUUUAUAAAUCCUUCUCGACUACCUUGGAGCUUGUGGUAUAGGAACUAGGUUGUUAUAUUUGUUGAUUAUUAUCUUGUCUCUCAAAGAACCCAUUCUUUGAGUUCUAUCUCUCAUUCAUUUGCACUUAGGCAAAUCAUAUUGUAAGAUUACAAUGAACUACCCAACAAAACAACAUUUGUUAGUUGGUUUAUAGAAGCGAUAUCCAAAAGUUAAUUUAAGGAUAUCCCACAAGAUUGUUAUCAAACAAAUAUUGCUUAUUAGCACAAAACCCCAAAUCUUAACAUGCUUGAGAUUUGUCUUUUUUUCCAACUACAUCUUAUGGAGUCAUGAAAAUUUUGGAAGAUCUUCUAAUUGACAAUCAUAUUGUUUUUAGAAGUAUAUAUCCUAUAUAUGGGUAAUAGAUAACAUCUAAUGAACUAAAUCUUAUUCGAGUUCGUUCUUCUCCUAAUAGAGAAAUUCAUUAUCUUAUGAUGCUAUUUUCCUUGAUAUCUUUCAAGGAAACUCAUCUAAAGUGUUACUUUUCCUUGGAUCAAAUCUAAGGAGGUAAAUACUUUAGAUGUCUUACUCAUCAACUUACAUUUCUUGAAUUCUUUGAAACAUUUUACAAAGUAUUCGGACUUGUGUUUAUUCAAAAAUAAACUAUAGUCCAACCGAGAGUGAUCUUCGGUGAAUGUCAUCCAUCAUGAGUAGUAUUAUGUUGUGGACAAGUGCCAUUAACAUCUAAGUGAAUUAACCUCAACAACUUUGUGAUUCUUUCUUCUUUCCAAAAGAAUAAAGAUUAGAACAUUUUGCCUCUAUACAAUUUAACAAGAAGGUAUUAGAUCCGGAUCUAACGAUCCAAAGCAUCCAUCUCUGAUCAACUCGUAAUUUAUGUUUUAGAGGUAUCACAACUCAGUUGGGAUUAGUCACUAUCUUGCAGCCUUUUGGGUUUUUAAGCAUCAUUAUAUUCUAAACAGUUAACACUACCAUAUCAUCUCCACUAUAGAGACAAUCAAUUAGAUUACUAUAAUCCAAUUAUUGACUAAUAAAGAACAAUGUUUUGUCAAACAAAACAUUCAUCCAUCUCUACUAUAGUGAUGGAAUUAAGUUCCUUAAAAUUGGAAUGUAAAGACAAUCUUUGGUUUUUCCAAUUUCUUUGGUAGUACAUAUGAGGAAGUAAGUACUAUUUGCUUUCGCAGAGAUCUUUAUUUUAUUCACGUUCCAAAUGUGAAUCACCUUUUUCUUCUCUCAUAUAUCUUCUACUUCUUAUUAGUCACACUUUUACAACGAUUGUAAAACAUAGUUACUAAUACGGAAUCAAGCAUUCAAGUAGAAGAACCAACUGUUUUGAACUAUUCAAGAACAAUUUACAACACCUUCGAAAGGUGUGUUCUUGACACUUGCAAGACAUUUCUUGCAAAUACCCCUUCCAAUGUCCAUCCUUUCAUAAAGAAAGUUUGUUCCCUUGGAGUUAAUUUUAUCUUCUUCAUUUGACUUCUCCUUUGACUACAAUAGUCAUGGUCCCUAAACUCCCACUAUCUCUUUUGAAACUUAUUUCAAUUGUGUUAUACACUUCAAAAAUUUUGGAGAGCAUGUGUUUAUUGUUCACUACAUAGUUUACAAUAAACUUAGUGAACCAUUAGGAUAGAGACAUAAAGGUGAAGUCCUAGCCUAGUUUCCGUCUCGUUAAGUGGUUUAUCACUUC
This 1690-nucleotide long non-coding RNA is filed under the name Malus domestica (apple). RNAcentral's name for it is "long non-coding RNA (MDOM_LNC011334)". Lineage: Eukaryota; Viridiplantae; Streptophyta; Magnoliopsida; Rosales; Rosaceae. The record is from RNAcentral.